This 451-nucleotide ribosomal RNA is filed under the name uncultured bacterium. Its description in RNAcentral is "partial 16S ribosomal RNA". It matches the Rfam family "Bacterial small subunit ribosomal RNA", at positions 29 to 523 of the family's 1533-position model. The record is from RNAcentral.
AACGAACGCUGGCGGCAGGCUUAACACAUGCAAGUCGAACGGGUGUAGCAAUACAUCAGUGGCAGACGGGUGAGUAACACGUGGGAACCUUCCUAGGGGUACGGACCCACUCAGGGAAACUUGAGCUAAUACCGUAUACGUCCGUGAGGAGAAAGAUUUAUCGCCCUUAGACGGGCCCGCGUCGGAUUAGCUAGUUGGUGGGGUAACGGCCUACCAAGGCGACGAUCCGUAGCUGAUCUUAGAGGAUGAUCAGCCACACUGGGCCUGAGACACGGCCCAGACUCCUACGGGAGGCAGCAGUGGGGAAUCUUGGACAAUGGGCGCAAGCCUGAUCCAGCCAUGCCGCGUGAGUGAAGAAGGUCUUCGGAUUGUAAAGCUCUUUUGCCAGGGACGAUAAUGACGGUACCUGGAGAAUAAGCCCCGGCAAACUUCGUGCCAGCCGCCGCCGUAA